AUCCUGCCGGAGGCCAUUGCUCUUGGGGUCCGAUUUAGCCAUGCUAGUCGCACGGGUUCAGACCCGUGGCAAAUAGCUCAGUAGCACGUGGCCAAUCUACCCUCCGGAUCAGCACACCCUCGGGAAACUGAGGCCAAUUCUGUAUACGGCUCCCGACCUGGAAUGGUGGGAGCCCGAAACGCUCCGGCGCCGGAGGAUGAGGCUGCGGCCGAUUAGGUUGACGGUGGGGUAAUGGCCCACCGUGCCGAUAAUCGGUCUGGGUCAUGAGAGUGAGAACCCAGAGACGGAAUCUGAGACAAGAUUCCGGGCCCUACGGGGCGCAGCAGGCGCGAAACCUUUACACUGCACGCCAGUGCGAUAAGGGGUCCCCAAGUGCGCAGGCAUAGUGCCCGUGCUUUUCUGGACUGUAGGGCGGUCCAGGAACAAGGGCUGGGCAAGACCGGUGCCAGCCGCCGCGGUAAUACCGGCAGCCCAAGUGAUGUCCCCUGUUAUUGGGCCUAAAGCGUCCGUAGCUAAGGGC
This 520-nucleotide ribosomal RNA is filed under the name uncultured haloarchaeon. Its description in RNAcentral is "bacterial SSU rRNA". It matches the Rfam family "Archaeal small subunit ribosomal RNA", at positions 11 to 532 of the family's 1478-position model. The record is from RNAcentral. Lineage: Archaea; Methanobacteriati; Methanobacteriota; Halobacteria; Halobacteriales; Halobacteriaceae.